AUACGGAGGAUCCGAGCGUUAUCCGGAUUUAUUGGGUUUAAAGGGUGGGUAGGCGGAAAAAUAAGUCAGUUGUGAAAGUUUGCAGCUCAACUGUAAAAUUGCCGUUGAAACUGUUUUUCUUGAGUGUAAAUGAGGUAGGCGGAAUGUGUUGUGUAGCGGUGAAAUGCUUAGAUAUGACACAGAACACCGAUUGCGAAGGCAGCUUACUAAGAUACAACUGACGCUGAGGCACGAAAGCGUGGGGAUC
This 247-nucleotide ribosomal RNA is filed under the name uncultured bacterium. RNAcentral describes it as "partial 16S ribosomal RNA". It matches the Rfam family "Bacterial small subunit ribosomal RNA", at positions 523 to 769 of the family's 1533-position model. The record is from RNAcentral.